AUUGAACGCUGGCGGCAUGCCUUACACAUGCAAGUCGAACGGUAACAGGUCUUCGGACGCUGACGAGUGGCGAACGGGUGAGAAAUACAUCGGAACGUGCCCGAUCGUGGGGGAUAACGAGGCGAAAGCUUUGCUAAUACCGCAUACGAUCUACGGAUGAAAGCGGGGGAUCUUCGGACCUCGCGCGGACGGAGCGGCCGAUGGCAGAUUAGGUAGUUGGUGGGAUAAAAGCUUACCAAGCCGACGAUCUGUAGCUGGUCUGAGAGGAUGAUCAGCCACACUGGGACUGAGACACGGCCCAGACUCCUACGGGAGGCAGCAGUGGGGAAUUUUGGACAAUGGGCGAAAGCCUGAUCCAGCCAUGCCGCGUGCAGGAUGAAGGCCUUCGGGUUGUAAACUGCUUUUGUACGGAACGAAAAGCCUCUUUCUAAUAAAGAGGGGUCAUGACGGUACCGGAAGAAUAAGCACCGGCUAACUACGUG
RNAcentral lists this ribosomal RNA (482 nucleotides) under uncultured bacterium. RNAcentral's name for it is "partial 16S ribosomal RNA". It matches the Rfam family "Bacterial small subunit ribosomal RNA", at positions 30 to 507 of the family's 1533-position model. The record is from RNAcentral.